GCCUGAUCCCGUGGGAGCACUAAGUAUAUGAAGUUGUGGAUGACAAAGCUGAAAAAGAGAGGCUCAUUGUCCUCUGAUGUGGAGGGUCAUCAACAUUUCAACUACUCACAUCUUAACACAGCAUAGUCACGGAUGAAGAUGGCUGUGAGCUUAGCAGGGCUCUAGCAAUGGCAAGCUCUCAACCAAGUGGUGCUUCAACAAUUAGCAGCCACAAGAUGCUUGCGUGCAGAAUUUUUAUGAGUGCAUCAUUGAACUCAAUGGAUCCUCCACGUGAGACAUUCCAUCCACACAAGCCCUGGAGUACGAGCACAGACACCUGUCAGACCGAGGGGCUUGCACGGGGCUUGGUCCACACUAUGGCCCUAAUGCGGCCCACCUCCACUCCCAUGAAAACACUCCCCCCUUGGAAGGAGCAUUCUUGCCUGGAAACUUCUUUACCCUAUUUGUGAGCUUUUUGCAGAGAUGAAGAAAAACAAUGUUAAAAAACAACCAACAACAACAAAAACAAAACCAUCCACAAUGAACUCAAAAGACUGAGUUGUGCCAAAAUUAAAGAUACCUGUUAGUCCAAAAAUCAAAUAUCUAUUAACCUGAUCCUGCAAUAAAUAUUCAAUAAAAAUUAUUGUCCUCAAUGAUGACAAUGUAGCCCUACAUUAUCACAAAAUUUUCUAAAUAUUCAAAGAAAGAAUAAAUCAUGUUCAAUGUCAUU
This 709-nucleotide long non-coding RNA is filed under the name Mustela putorius furo (domestic ferret). RNAcentral describes it as "lncRNA (ENSMPUG00000024795.1)". The record is from RNAcentral. Lineage: Eukaryota; Metazoa; Chordata; Mammalia; Carnivora; Mustelidae.